This 410-nucleotide ribosomal RNA is filed under the name Eucynortella annulipes. Its description in RNAcentral is "partial large subunit ribosomal RNA". Lineage: Eukaryota; Metazoa; Arthropoda; Arachnida; Opiliones; Cosmetidae. The record is from RNAcentral.
GACCGACCUGGCCUAAGCCGAUUUGAACUCAAAUCAUGUAAAUUUCUUAAUAGUCGAACAGACUUAAUUUUAUAGCCCCUUCACCAUAAAUAAAAUUUAAUUCAACAUCGAGGUCGCAAACUUAAUUAUUAAUAAGAACUCAUUAAUUAAAUAACGCUGUUAACCCUAGAGUAAUUUUUUUUACUUUUAACUUCUUACUUAAAAAUUAAUAUCUUUAAUUAUUGCCCCAAUAAAAAAUAUUUAUGUAUCUAUAAGUUAUAAUUUUGAUAUUUCAUAUUUUAAAAACUUCUAGGGUCUUCUCGUCCUAAAAAUUCAUAAGAGCUUUUUUACUCUUAAAUUAAUUUCAAAUUAAUUUUAAAAAACAUUUUCCUUUUUAGUAUCUACCUUUCAUUCCAGUUUCCAAUUAAAAA